RNAcentral lists this ribosomal RNA (510 nucleotides) under Microbacterium sp. TERIPS9013. Its description in RNAcentral is "bacterial SSU rRNA". It matches the Rfam family "Bacterial small subunit ribosomal RNA", at positions 338 to 861 of the family's 1533-position model. The record is from RNAcentral. Lineage: Bacteria; Bacillati; Actinomycetota; Actinomycetes; Micrococcales; Microbacteriaceae.
CCUACGGGAGGCAGCAGUGGGGAAUAUUGCACAAUGGGCGCAAGCCUGAUGCAGCAACGCCGCGUGAGGGAUGACGGCCUUCGGGUUGUAAACCUCUUUUAGCAGGGAAGAAGCGAAAGUGACGGUACCUGCAGAAAAAGCGCCGGCUAACUACGUGCCAGCAGCCGCGGUAAUACGUAGGGCGCAAGCGUUAUCCGGAAUUAUUGGGCGUAAAGAGCUCGUAGGCGGUUUGUCGCGUCUGCUGUGAAAUCCCGAGGCUCGACCUCGGGCCUGCAGUGGGUACGGGCAGACUAGAGUGCGGUAGGGGAGACUGGAAUUCCUGGCGUAGCGUGGAAUGCGCAGAUAUCAGGAGGAACACCGAUGGCGAAGGCAGAUCUCUGGGCCGUAACUGACGCUGAGGAGCGAAAGGUGGGGAGCAAACAGGCUUAGAUACCCUGGUAGUCCACCCCGUAAACGUUGGGAACUAGUUGUGGGGUCCAUUCCACGGAUUCGUGACGCAGCUAACGCAUU